This 1008-nucleotide ribosomal RNA is filed under the name Clostridium perfringens. RNAcentral describes it as "partial 23S ribosomal RNA". It matches the Rfam family "Bacterial large subunit ribosomal RNA", at positions 417 to 1428 of the family's 2925-position model. Lineage: Bacteria; Bacillati; Bacillota; Clostridia; Eubacteriales; Clostridiaceae. The record is from RNAcentral.
ACGAGACACGUGAAACCUUGUGGGAAGCAGGGAGGACCACCUCCCAAGGCUAAAUACUACCUGAUGACCGAUAGUGAAGCAGUACCGUGAGGGAAAGGUGAAAAGAACCCCGGGAGGGGAGUGAAAUAGAACCUGAAACCGUGUGCCUACAACCGCUCAGAGCCCCUUAUGAGGGUGAUGAGGUGCUUUUUGUAGAACGAGCCAACGAGUUACGGUAUGUAGCAAGGUUAAGUACUUAAGGUACGGAGCCGAAGGGAAACCGAGUCUGAAUAGGGCGACUAGUUGCAUGCCGUAGACCCGAAACCGGGUGACCUAUCCAUGGCCAGGUUGAAGCGAGGGUAAAACCUCGUGGAGGACCGAACCACGUUGCUGUUGAAAAAGCAUGGGAUGAGCUGUGGAUAGCGGAGAAAUUCCAAUCGAACCCGGAGAUAGCUGGUUCUCUCCGAAAUAGCUUUAGGGCUAGCGUCGAGUAUGAGUAGUGGAGGUAGAGCACUGAAUGGGCUAGGGGGCAUAGCGCUUACCGAACCUUAUCAAACUCCGAAUGCCACAUACUUUGAGCUCGGCAGUCAGACUACGAAUGAUAAGAUCCGUGGUCAAAAGGGAAACAGCCCAGAUCGUCAGCUAAGGUCCCAAAGUGUAAGUUAAGUGGGAAAGGAUGUGAGAUUUCUAAGACAACUAGGAUGUUGGCUUAGAAGCAGCCAUUCAUUAAAAGAGUGCGUAAUAGCUCACUAGUCGAGAGAUCUUGCGCCGAAAAUGUAACGGGGCUAAACUUACCACCGAAGCUACGGGCUUGAACUUAGUUCAAGCGGUAGGAGAGCGUCGUAACCGGGCUGAAGUCGUACCGUAAGGAGCGGUGGACUGGUUACGAGUGAGAAUGUUGGCAUCAGUAGCGAGAUGUGGGUGAGAAUCCCACAGGCCGAAAACCUAAGGUUUCCUCAGGAAGGUUCGUCCGCUGAGGGUUAGUCGGGACCUAAGCCGAGGCCGAAAGGCGUAGGUGAUGGACAACUG